AAUAACCAGAAAAGAGAAAAUUCAUGAAAAAUAUCAAAUGAUGAAAUAAAAAAUAUUAAAAAUCAGAAAUAGAAACUAGAAAUUAUUUGGGAAAUAAUGCAAUUGGUCCCAUAAUUUUUGGAUUAAAAAUGAAAGAGAUAUUGAUUUUUGAAAUAAAAAGGAAUUUAAGAAAAUAAAAACAGAAAUUAAAAAUUGGAAAA
RNAcentral lists this long non-coding RNA (200 nucleotides) under Lathyrus oleraceus (garden pea). Its description in RNAcentral is "Pisum sativum (pea) long non-coding RNA (PSAT_LNC021639)". Lineage: Eukaryota; Viridiplantae; Streptophyta; Magnoliopsida; Fabales; Fabaceae. The record is from RNAcentral.